RNAcentral lists this ribosomal RNA (265 nucleotides) under uncultured bacterium. Its description in RNAcentral is "partial 16S ribosomal RNA". It matches the Rfam family "Bacterial small subunit ribosomal RNA", at positions 793 to 1055 of the family's 1533-position model. The record is from RNAcentral.
GUCCACGCCGUAAACGAUGAGAACUAGAUGUCGGGAGGGAUUAGCCUCUCGGUGUCGUAGCUAACGCGCUAAGUUCUCCGCCUGGGGAGUACGGCCGCAAGGUUGAAACUCAAAGGAAUUGACGGGGACCCCGCACAAGCGGUGGAGCAUGUGGUUUAAUUCGAUGCAACGCGAAGAACCUUACCUGGUCUUGACAUCCUCGGAACCCUGCAGCGAUGCGGGGGUGCCUUCGGGAGCCGAGAGACAGGUGCUGCAUGGCUGUCGU